Molecule: ribosomal RNA, 388 nt
Filed under: uncultured eukaryote
Lineage: Eukaryota
Description: partial 18S ribosomal RNA
Rfam family: Eukaryotic small subunit ribosomal RNA
Source: RNAcentral
CAAUAGCGUAUAUUAAAGUUGUUGCAGUUAAAAAGCUCGUAGUUGGAUUUCUGAUCGAGACAUCAGGUCGGGUCCGAGAGGAUCAUGUACUUUGAUUUUGUUUUGAUCAUCCUUGGGGAGAGCAUUUCUGGCAUUCAGUUGUCGGGAUUGGGAUCCUCAUCGUUUACUGUGAAAAAAUUAGAGUGUUCAAAGCAGGCCUCGGCCUCUGAAUACAUUAGCAUGGAAUAAUAAGAUAGGACUUUGGUGGUCCAUUUUGUUGGUUUGCACGCCAAAGUAAUGAUUAAUAGGGAUAGUUGGGGGUAUUCGUAUUCAAUUGUCAGAGGUGAAAUUCUUGGAUUUAUGGAAGACGAACUACUGCGAAAGCAUUUACCAAGGAUGUUUUCAUUAA